GAUGAACGCUGGCGGCGUGCCUAAUACAUGCAAGUCGAGCGAACAGAUAAGGAGCUUGCUCCUUUGACGUUAGCGGCGGACGGGUGAGUAACACGUGGGUAACCUACCUAUAAGACUGGGAUAACUUCGGGAAACCGGAGCUAAUACCGGAUAACAUUUGGAACCGCAUGGUUCUAAAGUGAAAGAUGGUUUUGCUAUCACUUAUAGAUGGACCCGCGCCGUAUUAGCUAGUUGGUAAGGUAACGGCUUACCAAGGCGACGAUACGUAGCCGACCUGAGAGGGUGAUCGGCCACACUGGAACUGAGACACGGUCCAGACUCCUACGGGAGGCAGCAGUAGGGAAUCUUCCGCAAUGGGCGAAAGCCUGACGGAGCAACGCCGCGUGAGUGAUGAAGGGUUUCGGCUCGUAAAACUCUGUUAUUAGGGAAGAACAAAUGUGUAAGUAACUGUGCACAUCUUGACGGUACCUAAUCAGAAAGCCACGGCUAACUACGUGCCAGCAGCCGCGGUAAUACGUAGGUGGCAAGCGUUAUCCGGAAUUAUUGGGCGUAAAGCGCGCGUAGGCGGUUUCUUAAGUCUGAUGUGAAAGCCCACGGCUCAACCGUGGAGGGUCAUUGGAAACUGGGAAACUUGAGUGCAGAAGAGGAAAGUGGAAUUCCAUGUGUAGCGGUGAAAUGCGCAGAGAUAUGGAGGAACACCAGUGGCGAAGGCGACUUUCUGGUCUGUAACUGACGCUGAUGUGCGAAAGCGUGGGGAUCAAACAGGAUUAGAUACCCUGGUAGUCCACGCCGUAAACGAUGAGUGCUAAGUGUUAGGGGGUUUCCGCCCCUUAGUGCUGCAGCUAACGCAUUAAGCACUCCGCCUGGGGAGUACGACCGCAAGGUUGAAACUCAAAGGAAUUGACGGGGACCCGCACAAGCGGUGGAGCAUGUGGUUUAAUUCGAAGCAACGCGAAGAACCUUACCAAAUCUUGACAUCCUUUGAAAACUCUAGAGAUAGAGCCUUCCCCUUCGGGGGACAAAGUGACAGGUGGUGCAUGGUUGUCGUCAGCUCGUGUCGUGAGAUGUUGGGUUAAGUCCCGCAACGAGCGCAACCCUUAAGCUUAGUUGCCAUCAUUAAGUUAGGCACUCUAGGUUGACUGCCGGUGACAAACCGGAGGAAGGUGGGGAUGACGUCAAAUCAUCAUGCCCCUUAUGAUUUGGGCUACACACGUGCUACAAUGGACAAUACAAAGGGCAGCUAAACCGCGAGGUCAUGCAAAUCCCAUAAAGUUGUUCUCAGUUCGGAUUGUAGUCUGCAACUCGACUACAUGAAGCUGGAAUCGCUAGUAAUCGUAGAUCAGCAUGCUACGGUGAAUACGUUCCCGGGUCU
RNAcentral lists this ribosomal RNA (1372 nucleotides) under uncultured bacterium. Its description in RNAcentral is "bacterial SSU rRNA". It matches the Rfam family "Bacterial small subunit ribosomal RNA", at positions 28 to 1381 of the family's 1533-position model. The record is from RNAcentral.